GAUGAACGCUGGCGGCGUGCCUAACACAUGCAAGUCGAACGGAGAUUACGGACGGUUGUUUUCGGAUGGAAGGCUGUACUUCUUAGUGGCGGACGGGUGAGUAACGCGUGGGCAACCUGCACUAUACAGGGGGAUAGCAGCUGGAAACGGCUGGUAUGACCGCAUAAGUCGGCGAGUCCGCAUGGUUUUGCCUGGAGAUGAGCAAUCAGGUAUAGGAUGGGCCCGCGUCCGAUUAGCCAGUUGGCAGGGUAAAAGCCUACCAAAGCAACGAUCGGUACCCGGGCUGAGAGGUCGGACCGCCACAUUGGGGCUGAGCCACAGCCCAAACUCCUACGCGAGGCAGCAGUGGGUGAUAUUGCAAAACGGAGUAAGCUCUGAUGCAGCGACGCCGGGUGAGUGAAGAAGUAUGUCGGUAUGUAAAGCGCUAGCAGCAGGGAAGAUGAUGACGGUACCUGACUAAGAAGCCCCGGCUAACUACGUG
Molecule: ribosomal RNA, 481 nt
Filed under: uncultured bacterium
Lineage: Bacteria
Description: partial 16S ribosomal RNA
Rfam family: Bacterial small subunit ribosomal RNA
Source: RNAcentral